UGGGGAAUAUUGCACAAUGGGCGCAAGCCUGAUGCAGCCAUGCCGCGUGUAUGAAGAAGGCCUUCGGGUUGUAAAGUACUUUCAGCGGGGAGGAAGGUGUUGAGGCUAAUAACCUCAGCAAUUGACGUUACCCGCAGAAGAAGCACCGGCUAACUCCGUGCCAGCAGCCGCGGUAAUACGGAGGGUGCAAGCGUUAAUCGGAAUUACUGGGCGUAAAGCGCACGCAGGCGGUCUGUCAAGUCGGAUGUGAAAUCCCCGGGCUCAACCUGGGAACUGCAUUCGAAACUGGCAGGCUAGAGUCUUGUAGAAGGGGGUAGAAUUCCAGGUGUAGCGGUGAAAUGCGUAGAGAUCUGGAGGAAUACCGGUGGCGAAGGCGGCCCCCUGGACAAAGACUGACGCUCAGGUGCGAAAGCGUGGGGAGCAAACA
Molecule: ribosomal RNA, 427 nt
Filed under: uncultured bacterium
Lineage: Bacteria
Description: partial 16S ribosomal RNA
Rfam family: Bacterial small subunit ribosomal RNA
Source: RNAcentral